This is a long non-coding RNA of Gordionus sp. m RMFG-2023, 317 nucleotides long. RefSeq lists it as uncharacterized. The record is from RefSeq and is a predicted model, not a curated record. The transcript has 3 exons. NCBI's taxonomy places the organism in Eukaryota, Metazoa, Nematomorpha, Gordioida, Chordodea, Parachordodidae.
UUUAAACUUCCUUAAAUUUCGUUUAUUAUACUAAAAAUUAAAAAUAAUUUUUACUUAAAAUCAAUUUUAAAAUGAAAUUUUUAACAAUUAUCCUCCUGCUUGUUCUUAUUUUCUGCAAGUCCCAUGGCAUGGCUGUUCCUGCAAUUAUUAUAGACAAACGAUGCACUAAACUGAACCGGCUAGCCCAUUUGAGGGUUCGAUGGUAAAAUUAUAAAUAAAAAUAGAGAUCCGAAGACCCAUGGCCAGCAUUAUUUAUAUAUUUCAUUACUAUUUUCUUAUUUCUUGCCCGAUGAAUAUCACAAUGAUACUCUGAUAAA